UUAACUGGGUUUCCAGGGGGACUCGGAGAGGCUCAGGUAGGGUGCGUGGUUUCGGCCGGGGUACCGCCGGCGGGUCCCGGGUGGCUCCGCCCUGGAGCCGCCCGCCGAGGCACGUUUCUGGUAGGUUCGCGAUGGUUUGGGAGCGGUCUAUCGGCAAUGAUCCCUCCGCUGGUUCACCAACGGAGA
Molecule: unclassified non-coding RNA, 186 nt
Filed under: uncultured fungus
Lineage: Eukaryota; Fungi
Description: sequence contains ITS1
Source: RNAcentral